GGUGGCUCAGUGGUAGAGUGCUUGCCUGCAAUGCAUGAGGCCCUGGGUUCGAUUCCUCAGCACCA
Molecule: transfer RNA, 65 nt
Filed under: Dipodomys ordii (Ord's kangaroo rat)
Lineage: Eukaryota; Metazoa; Chordata; Mammalia; Rodentia; Heteromyidae
Rfam family: tRNA
About the family: Transfer RNA (tRNA) molecules are approximately 80 nucleotides in length. Their secondary structure includes four short double-helical elements and three loops (D, anti-codon, and T loops).
Source: Rfam by way of RNAcentral